This is a long non-coding RNA of Portunus trituberculatus (swimming crab), 2835 nucleotides long. RefSeq lists it as uncharacterized. The transcript is spliced from 7 exons. NCBI's taxonomy places the organism in Eukaryota, Metazoa, Arthropoda, Malacostraca, Decapoda, Portunidae. The record is from RefSeq and is a predicted model, not a curated record.
UCUAAUGGCCCGCUGUGAGACGUGAGGAAGGUCGUAGCGUAUAGCCUGACCACAUCACCUCCGCAUCCCGGACCUUUGGGGCACUAGAGGUUGUGACACACAGCCUGCACGGCCCCAACAAACCCCCAAGAAAAGAAGAGGAAAGCCAGAGAGGCGAUCAGCUGUGUCUUGUGUCAAAUUACCUUUCCCUUCACUCAGACGUCAUUACCUUGUGGCGGCGGCGUCUCUUUCUGCUGUCAUGAUUGUCAAGAUAUGGAGAAAGAGAGACCAGUCAAAGAGGAAGAGGAAGAGGUACAGGGAGAUAAGGAGAAGAAGAAAGAAUGAAUGAAGAGAAAAAAGGAAAGCUGUAGCUCAUCGCAUCGCAUGACCUCUCCUCAAGCUCUUCGUCAUCGUCCUGUUCAUACACCUUCUUAUCUCGCCAAAUUGAUGGUUUCCUGCCCUGCCUACUGGAAACACACAUGAUAAAUGUCCAAAUGAGGCAGAUGUCAGCAGACAGGUCACCACCACCACUACCAUCACCACCACCACUACCACCACCACCACCACCUUAGGAAGCAGGGCAACCUUCAGGUGAAACACACCACCCAAUCACUCACUGCUGGUGUGGACGGGAGAAGCACUGGUGUGUGAUCUUUCUCCUAAAGUAUGGUGAGCAGCGCUACACAAGGUUGUCACAGCGAUGGGAGGAGAGCUUGAUGUUCUUCCCAUACACCGUCUUCACCUGUUCGGUGCCAAACUGGCCGUACACAAACACACACUCCGAGGGGACGACAGGACCAUUGCUGGCCCACUGCACAUCACAAUCUGUGAGGCAAGAAACAACCUUUUCUAACAACCAGGCACCUCGCCCAGCGUGUACACCACCUGCAGCCGGCUGUCCUGGUCUGCCAAGGAGAACACAAUAUCGAGAUAUGUGGUCUUGUUGCCGUGGUGGAACAGUAAAGGUUUUACUAAAGACACAUGAAGCGAAGCCUAGAUGGUGCCAGAACUGACAAGGGACAGAGCAAGUAAUGAGAGGAGUCUUGGAUAUAUGGAAGUGCAAGGAAGAAGGAGAGAUGAUGAUGGAUAGCAUACAAGCAAGAUAAGAGAAAAAAAAGGACUAGACAAGAUGAAGAUACAAACAAGAUUAGAUGAUAGCAGAGAACAAGGACUAUUUAAGAUUGGAAAGAAAAAUGAAAGGGCUAGAUAUGCUGGAGGGAAAGGACCAACAGGGCAGGUAACUGGAGGAAAUUCACUGCAAACAGCAACUCCGUACAGAUGAAGAUGAUGUUCUGGAAUGGCGGUGAGGUAUGGCUGUCACUGGCAUUCUGCAUGAUGCCUGUAAUGCUAUCAGGUCAUGUCCUAAUAAGCAACAUGCUCAGGGGAGUGCCAUAUGUCACAAGGAGUCAUGUCUGUUGAUAGUGAGGUACCUGGUACACUUGAGGAAUACAGUGCUGGGCCAAAUAUGAGUAGAUGAGAGCAGUCAUGCAUGAUGUGUGACUCCCACUAAUGCAAACUCCUUAACUACUCAAUCUCGUGGCCCAGCAUAAAGUUCCUCAAGUCAGAAGAUUAAUGGCUACAGUCUUCACUAUAUUAACCCCUUUAGCACUGGGACACAUUUUUACCUGAGAUUUGUGUACCAUUAGACCAUUUCAAUGACAUUAACAAAGGUCUAUGGAGGUCACAAGAAUAAUGGCCACAGUCUUCAAUAUUUUUAAUUCCCCACAUGAGUUUGUGAAGUUUUAGUAAAUCACCAAAUAGUAACCAAAAGGAAUAUGGAGACUCAUGUUUUUUAGGACAUUUUUAAGAUGAUUUGAUGUGUUUUAAGGCAUUAUAAGACAGUUUGGCAUGUUUUGAGGGCAGUUUAAGACAGCUUGGCAUGUUUUGAGGGCAGUUUAAAACAAUUUGGUGUGUUUUCAGGGCAUUAUAAGACAGCUUGGCAUGUUUUGAGGGCAAUUUAAGAUAGCUUGGCAUGUUUUUAGGUCUUCAAUCUUUUAAUCCCCCACAUGAGUUUGUGAAACAGUAAAAAUCACCAAAUAGUCACCACAAGGGAUAUGGCAAUGUGUCACCCUACUGAAGGGGUUAAAUAGUAUUGUAAGGAAGCUUUGCAAAAAUUGCUUUUUUUUUUUUUUUUUUUUUUAAUCAUGAAAGCUGAUUUUGUGUGUGUGUGUGUGUGUGUGUGUGUGCGAGAUAAUCACUCUUUUGUUAUUUCUGAAAGGUGAUGUAAAGUUUUUAGGUGUUUGUGAGUGAGGUAAGAGUGUGUGAGGGUGUCAUUGUGUCAGGGGUGUAUCAAGAGUGUAUCUUACUCUGUAGAUUGCUUCAAUGAAUGGUAAUGAAUGGUGUUUUAACCUCUUCAGUACCAUGACACAUUUCCAUAUUCCUUGUGGUGACUAUUUGGUGAUUUUGUACAGCUUCACAAACUCAUGUGGGGGUUAAAAUGGUGAAGACUGUGGCCAUUAAUCUUGUGACCUUCUUAUGAUGGGCACUACUUUGUUAACGCGGAGUAAUGUAAUGUAAUGUUCUACCGUAUGAUGUACUAUGACCGUGGGUAUUGUUCCACCCCACGGGACGCCGCACUCAGUCGCUCCCAACACAGCUUCGUGAACAGACUCACGUUCUUUGACUGGUUCUCCUGUCCUGCACAGCCAGUCCAGUUCUACAGUGUACUGUCUACAGUCACACUCCAGUGUCUAGACUGUAAUUCUACAUCACGCUUACUACAAGCUUCAUCUAGCUGCUACCAACUAUAAGUCUCGCUCUGGCCACCAGCUACUUCUCAAGCCUCCACAGCUACUCGCUACCAAGUCUACCAAGCUUCAAUACACUUUGUAUCUUACAAUAAACACAGGGAAAGGC